UAGUCCACGCCGUAAACGAUGAGUGCUAGGUGUCGGGUGUCAAAGCUCGGUGCCGUCGUUAACACACUAAGCACUCCGCCUGGGGAGUACGUGCGCAAGCAUGAAACUCAAAGGAAUUGACGGGGACCCGCACAAGCAGCGGAGCAUGUGGUUUAAUUCGAAGCAACGCGAAGAACCUUACCAGGACUUGAAAUAUUGGCGCCCGCUUUAGAGAUAAAGUUUUUUCUUCGGAAACGCCAUUAC
Molecule: ribosomal RNA, 243 nt
Filed under: uncultured bacterium
Lineage: Bacteria
Description: partial 16S ribosomal RNA
Rfam family: Bacterial small subunit ribosomal RNA
Source: RNAcentral